GACGAACGCUGGCGGCGUGCUUAACACAUGCAAGUCGAACGGAAAGGCCCUGCUUUUGUGGGGUGCUCGAGUGGCGAACGGGUGAGUAACCCGUGAGUAACCUGCCCUUGACUUUGGGAUAACUUCAGGAAACUGGGGCUAAUACCGGAUAGGAGCUCCUGCUGCAUGGUGGGGGUUGGAAAGUUUCGGCGGUUGGGGAUGGACUCGCGGCUUAUCAGCUUGUUGGUGGGGUAGUGGCUUACCAAGGCUUUGACGGGUAGCCGGCCUGAGAGGGUGACCGGCCACAUUGGGACUGAGAUACGGCCCAGACUCCUACGGGAGGCAGCAGUGGGGAAUAUUGCACAAUGGGCGGAAGCCUGAUGCAGCAACGCCGCGUGCGGGAUGACGGCCUUCGGGUUGUAAACCGCUUUCGCCUGUGACGAAGCGUGAGUGACGGUAAUGGGGAAAGAAGCACCGGCUAACUACGU
Molecule: ribosomal RNA, 467 nt
Filed under: uncultured bacterium
Lineage: Bacteria
Description: partial 16S ribosomal RNA
Rfam family: Bacterial small subunit ribosomal RNA
Source: RNAcentral